AUUGAACGCUGGCGGCAUGCUUUACACAUGCAAGUCGAACGGUAACAGGCCUUCGGGUGCUGACGAGUGGCGAACGGGUGAGUAAUGCAUCGGAACGUACCCAGAGUAGGGGGAUAACGCAUCGAAAGCUGUGCUAAUACCGCAUGUGAUCUGAGGAUGAAAGCGGGGGACCGAGCAGCAAUGUUUGGCCUCGCGCCUUUGGAGCGGCCGAUGUCGGAUUAGCUAGUUGGUGGGGUAAAGGCCUACCAAGGCGACGAUCCGUAGCUGGUCUGAGAGGACGACCAGCCACACUGGGACUGAGACACGGCCCAGACUCCUACGGGAGGCAGCAGUGGGGAAUUUUGGACAAUGGGCGCAAGCCUGAUCCAGCAAUGCCGCGUGCGGGAAGAAGGCCUUCGGGUUGUAAACCGCUUUUGGCAGGAACGAAACGGUGUCCGCUAAUACCGGGCGCUAAUGACGGUACCUGCAGAAUAAGCACCGGCUAACUACGUG
This 492-nucleotide ribosomal RNA is filed under the name uncultured bacterium. Its description in RNAcentral is "partial 16S ribosomal RNA". It matches the Rfam family "Bacterial small subunit ribosomal RNA", at positions 30 to 507 of the family's 1533-position model. The record is from RNAcentral.